This 253-nucleotide ribosomal RNA is filed under the name uncultured bacterium. RNAcentral describes it as "partial 16S ribosomal RNA". It matches the Rfam family "Bacterial small subunit ribosomal RNA", at positions 524 to 776 of the family's 1533-position model. The record is from RNAcentral.
UACGUAGGGGGCAAGCGUUGUCCGGAUUUAUUGGGCGUAAAGAGCGUGUAGGCGGCUAGGUAGGUCCGUUGUGAAAACUCGAGGCUCAACCUCGAGACGCCGGUGGAAACCAUCUAGCUAGAGUCCGGAAGAGGAGAGUGGAAUUUACGGUGUAGCAGUGAAAUGCGUAGAUAUCGUAAGGAAGACCAGUGGCGAAGGCGAAUCUCUGGACAGUUACUGACACUGAGGCACGAAGGCCAGGGGAGCAAACGGG